UGUGCUGUGAUGUGGUCGGAAGCCAGAUAAUAAUAGAAGGUCAAAGACAAGAAACAGGAGUUAUUCCAACAUUUUCUUAUAUUUGGAGAAUGUAUGUAAAAUCCAUAGUAUUAAAACAAACAAGCAAACAAACAAACAAAAAAACUAUUGAAGUCAAUGGGGACCAAGAAAUAUUUGGUUGCCAACAUUCUUCAAAAUAUUUGUUCUCAGCAGAAGAAAGAAACUUAUAAAAGUUGAAGGAGAGUAAAUGCUGAGAGAGUUUUCUCCUUCAUCGGUGGAAGAAACACAAGCUCAGACGCCCAUCAAGCAAGAGUUUCAGAGUUUUACAAAAACACGUCUGAGAUGUGAGCCACUCAUUUCUUCAUCUCACUGCUUUAACUUUGCAGAUCGGCUCUUUUCAUAUCUCUGUAGAUGGUUUCUUCAUGCUGUGUGGGGUUUUUCACUUUCUAAAAGUUUGACAAACUAAUAAUCAGACAAAGUCAAGAGCAUCAAAAUGAAAGUUUAAACUCAUUAUUAACAUGUGGUUACUUUGAGCGAGUUAUGAGAGCAAGGAAAGGAGCAGUUAAAAGCAGAAAUAAAUGAAGAGAAAAUGUGUUGUCUACAAAAUUUAAAUGGAAUUAAAAGAAAACAAAAAUGGAAGCACAUUUCUAGCCAUCAGUUCUAGAGCUGAUGAGUUUAGUAUGAUCCUCCAGUCAAGGAUACAGUGAUGAAGCAGACCUGUGAAUGAAGUGUGUGAAUCCCCGUCCCGACGCCGCUGUGUGAAGGUGUUUCCAGCACAGACUGAUGGCUAAUUUCUCUCAGCACUGGAAUUCACUCUUAAAGAAACACUUCGCCCCCAAAUUGUGUCAUUAUGUACUGGUGUGAGUUAGGGUUUGAGAUCAGUGAAAGUGACCAUUAUCAGUCAAUAUGUUCCUACAUUUAUGCAUUUGGCAGAUGCUGACAUUACAAUUAAGGGGUAAGGGUUUGAUCAGUUAAUUAAUCGCAUUCUGCUUUUGUGUUCACGUGUGACACACAACAAAACAAGAUGAUAAUGGAGUGAUUAAUAAAACAAGCUGAAUUAUUUAAUGAAAAUGAAAUUUAAUUCCAUGACUCUCUCGCAGACAUCACAAAGGUCAGUCUUAAUCAUCUUAAUUAAUCUAAUCCCUAAAACAAGAUUUAGAUUAAACUGUAAUCUUCAUUUGUGGAUGAGACGUCUCUUGUGUUGCGGUCGAGUCGGUCAGGUGUGUUUUUAAUAUUGUACUAGAAACAUUAAAAAUCGAUUUUUGUAAUUUCUCUGCAAAUAGAUCUUUUUUCUUUUGGUGAGUGACAGUCAUCAUCAUUUACUUGCAGUCAGUGUAUCAGAUGUCUUUAUGAAGGAAGAUGAGCAGUGAUUGAUUAUAAAGUGAAAAGUGAUAGGUACUGUCCUGUAUUUCUGAUUUAUAGUUUCUUCCUUCAUAUAAUGUGUUGAACACAUGUCAUGAGAUGAGUUUGAGAGAAAUCAGAGCUGUGGGGUUCAUACGUGUAUCACUGUAUCAUGUGACCCCUGACCCCUCGUCAGGCUUCUGCUAAUGACCCUUUACUCCUGAGAACUGCCCAAUUAAAGCACAGUACAAUUUCAUAAAUGAAAGGUUUAAUGCACACAUAGCAGGCGAUAUCUUCAUCUCUAUAGUAGAACAUUUUGCAUCUCUACUUUGUCUGAAACACCUGUUUCAGGUCUUGGAGUCUCUACUAAUGAGCUGAUGAUCUGAAUCAGGUGUGUUUGAUUAAGGAGACAUGGAAAACCUGCAGUGUUGUUGGGACUCCGGGAACGUGGAUGGGAACCACUGCAGUAAAAUACCAUUUAAAUCUGUAUAAAUUAAAGGUAAUACAUUAAAUACAUCCAGCGUAUAGAACCAGCUUUCUGUUUUUUUCUGAGUAUAAAUGUGCUUCACUGGCAAGAAAAUUAUGAUUUUUUCUUUUAUUUAGGGGAUGAAAGCUGACUUGGCCUGCUUUGUUGAGAUUCACCCUGUGCUCUUUGACCCCGUGACCCUCAGCAGUGUGUUAGCAGCAGUGAACACCCACAGACCACACGACAGAUAUUAGCUUCCCUCCCUCGAGCACUGAUAAACACCUGCUCUUACCGGACACGCUCACAUUCUUCCAAGAAUAGCUGUGUUUUGUAUAUUGUGUGGCCUGUUUUUCUGCAUCCAACUCGACACAUUCUCAGAGCUGCACUCAGCGCUUCACAUGUUCUGCAUCAAACAUGUUUCACUCAGUGUAAGAAUGAGUUUCAGUGAGUUUCAUUGAUGGUGGACAACAUUAACGUUGGAGUCACAGUGACUGUCCGCUCUCGUGAUUCAGAGCUGUUCCACAGCAGUCUUUCUUCUCAGAAGCAUAAAACACAUGAGGAGGGUUAUGUUUCUCUUCUGUAGCUUUUUCUUAGCUGUAAUUGGCGAACGAGUCAUUAACCAUGAUGUCACUGCGAGCGCUUGCUUGUGUGUUUGACUGGUUGAACUCUUCAUGAACUUGUAACCGUCUGUGAAUCACAGUGACAUGAUGUGCAGACGCUCGUGAGGAAACCAGCUGAUUGUGAGGAGAUUUCUUAUUAAUUAGUGCUCUGAAUCAUGUGGGCUGUUUCUCCUGCUUUGUAUUCACUGAUUAUUGGACAUUAGUGUACUAGGGUUCCUCAGUAAAGAUGGUCACACCUAAUCUCUGUCUCUAUGGUCUCUACGAAUCGCUCACUCGUGCGGCCGGGUCUAUACAGAUAUAAAACAGAUUACAGCUUGAUUUAUAGUUAUUCACACAGAAAGGGUUAAGAGUGUUACUAACUGUAUUUAACCGAAUACACUUAUACGGUGUAUGAAUCAUGCUGUCGAAGAGUGAGUGUGAGAAGCUCAGGACAGCAGAGGAGACGUGGUGAGCUCCUGAUGAAGUGUGUGUGUGUGUGUGUGCCCACUCAUGCUCUUCUGUCUCUAUAGCCAAGAUGUGACACCUGCUGAAUCACCAGUGAGAUUCACCUGAGUCAUUUAGCAAAGAUAAAUAGAGGCUUCAGCAGCAGCGAGACACACAGAACGCUGAAGCUUCACUGACGCUUGUGUUCAUUAGAAAGAGCCAGGGCCGACAGCGGGUCACGACCUCCACGGGCUUUCAGGUUUUUUAUUUUAUUUUUGGUUUGCUAAAUUGAGCUCAAGCCAGAUUUUCCAGCUUCAAAUGUUUUUCUUUGCAAUUCUCUCUCCUGCUUUGUAUUCAGCGGCUCGUCUUGGCGCUGGUCUGAAAAACACAAAAGUGGGUCAGAAGCAAAUAAUUUCUUGAACCCAGCGAAUGUCAGAAGACAUGAAGGUUCUGAGGGCAUUUUAAUAACUGCCACCAAUAUUCACCCCCGCGGACCGACAGGCGGAGAGCGGCCGGUGACUGCAGGCUCAGGCGUGUAAUUUCAGUGCCGGGACCAAGAUUUUUUAAGUAAGCCCUUGCAGUGCGCUCGUAUGAUGAAAUGCAUUGAGGCAUUUAAUGCUAAACAGACGCCCCAUGAACACGACACUCAGAGAAAGGCAUCAGUCCAUUAGAAUCAGUCAAAUCAUGUGUGUGGAGGAGAGCGCUGCGAUCUGCACCUGCUAGACCUACAACUGCAUCGACAACUCCUCCAAAAACCAUUUCCUCACCCGGCUGAAGGCUGGAGUUCCUGAUGUGACUGAUGGUUGUGGAAAGAGCUGCUGAUGAGUCAUGAUGAUCUUCACUCAUUAGUGCUGUUCCCUACAUACUGAACCUGAGAAAGAGCGCAAGAGAAUAGCCAGAAUCCCUUCUGAGCUCUUUCACCACAUUAGGACUCCAGCUGUGAGGAAUGAGACGGACACAAGCAGCUGGAAUCACGCAAUAAACUCUGACCUACAACAACUGCCAAAAAUAAAGAUUCUGUCAUCAUUUGCUCACCAUCAUUUUGGU
This is a long non-coding RNA of Carassius auratus (goldfish), 3897 nucleotides long. RefSeq lists it as uncharacterized. The record is from RefSeq and is a predicted model, not a curated record. NCBI's taxonomy places the organism in Eukaryota, Metazoa, Chordata, Actinopteri, Cypriniformes, Cyprinidae. The transcript is spliced from 4 exons.